GCCAGUGUGAUGUAGUGGUUCGUGCGUUAUACUACAACUAUGGAGAUCAGGGUUUGAUUCCCUGCUCAGCUA
This is a non-coding RNA of Phrynosoma platyrhinos (Desert horned lizard), 72 nucleotides long. Lineage: Eukaryota; Metazoa; Chordata; Lepidosauria; Squamata; Phrynosomatidae. The record is from the annotation of a GenBank genome assembly.